GGAAUGGAAGGACACAGAUCGGUGGGAUAGGCUCCUCUGGGUUCCACAAGAGGUCCAGCAUGCUGGAUGCACCGCCGGAGCCCUCUUCAGGAACCAGGCAGCUCCUCCAGGCUGCCGGCAGGACUUCGGGAGAAGGGCCUGGGCCUCCGCUCCAGGUGCACCAGCUAGGCUGAAGGAAGCAGCUCCCCCAAGGCCAGAGCAGCCCUCCGUGGAUGGGUGACUGCCCAACCUGGCACCCCUGCAGUACUGGCUGCACCCUUCACGGGUGCUCACACACCCCAGCUCCCCCUGCCUAGUCCUGCUUCCUCCCAGCCCGCAGAGUGACCCCAAAGCUCCCGAGAGCUAAUGCUCAUCUCCGUCUCUGAGAGCCCACUGGGACCAAAGCUACACGCACAGAAUCAUUGGCUAAAAACAAUUUUUAGGAAAUUCUAUGCCUGCAUCCAACCCUCUGCAACUUUGCUUUGAGCCUUUCCUGAACACUGAUGUCACCCCAUCUAGAGAAGAAGGGCGAUGGGUGGCAAGUGGACAGAUGGUACCUGCGUGGAGCCUUGGUCUGCUCUGAAAGGACUCCGUCCCUGCUCACUGCCGCACACAGCUCAUGACUUUUGCCCACUGGAAACCAGAACUGCUCUGAAAUCAUUUUCUGAUCUAACCCAAAGCACAGUCUCUGUGGCAGAGAGCCACGGGGGGCAGCAGUCGGGACUGCAGCUGCUCAGAAGCCCCCGCUCUCUUGCAGCAACGGAUACCUCCUGCCAGAGUCUCCUUCUUGCCAACAUUUCUGGGGGAGGAAAUGCAAGUUUUCCCCCCUGCUUUGCCACUGGCCGGUCAGGUGACCUGUGGCAAGCCUCCUCAUGCUGGGGUGGCCCACGGCAAGGCCCCACCUCUCUGGCCCCCAGGGGCCACUUCCACACCUGGUGGACAAGUCAGCUGGCUGAGCUCCUCCCAGUUUGGCACCACUGCCCAGUACCUUCCUCUGUCUUUGAGCUGAAACCUGUGCCUCAAGUUCAUUUCAGAAAUCUCAAAACACAGUUAACAAGCAAAGAGUGAGGCAAGGAGAGGAGUCACCUCCCUGCACUCCUGGCACUGACCCCAACUCGCACGCAUCAUUGGUGAUGGAACGGGAGCUGGGGUGGCACUGCCAGUGCCCAGUUUUGGGAGGACCUGACUCCAGCACUCCUUGGCAUGCUUCUGCCCCCUGCCUCACUCACAAGCCCCUCAAAGCCCACCUGUUCCUGGGAAAGCCCUGCGUCCACGGUCACGGUGCUUGAGCCACAUGGAGACCUCAGACUGCGAUCCUCUUACAUGUAGAAUAUAUGUUAAGGGUGAUAAAAAUAAUUUUU
This is a non-coding RNA of Manis javanica (Malayan pangolin), 1340 nucleotides long. NCBI's taxonomy places the organism in Eukaryota, Metazoa, Chordata, Mammalia, Pholidota, Manidae. The record is from RefSeq and is a predicted model, not a curated record.